RNAcentral lists this ribosomal RNA (458 nucleotides) under Salmonella enterica subsp. enterica serovar Typhimurium. Its description in RNAcentral is "bacterial SSU rRNA". It matches the Rfam family "Bacterial small subunit ribosomal RNA", at positions 1085 to 1533 of the family's 1533-position model. Lineage: Bacteria; Pseudomonadati; Pseudomonadota; Gammaproteobacteria; Enterobacterales; Enterobacteriaceae. RNAcentral also lists the same sequence under 1 other name. The record is from RNAcentral.
UCCCGCAACGAGCGCAACCCUUAUCCUUUGUUGCCAGCGAUUAGGUCGGGAACUCAAAGGAGACUGCCAGUGAUAAACUGGAGGAAGGUGGGGAUGACGUCAAGUCAUCAUGGCCCUUACGACCAGGGCUACACACGUGCUACAAUGGCGCAUACAAAGAGAAGCGACCUCGCGAGAGCAAGCGGACCUCAUAAAGUGCGUCGUAGUCCGGAUUGGAGUCUGCAACUCGACUCCAUGAAGUCGGAAUCGCUAGUAAUCGUGGAUCAGAAUGCCACGGUGAAUACGUUCCCGGGCCUUGUACACACCGCCCGUCACACCAUGGGAGUGGGUUGCAAAAGAAGUAGGUAGCUUAACCUUCGGGAGGGCGCUUACCACUUUGUGAUUCAUGACUGGGGUGAAGUCGUAACAAGGUAACCGUAGGGGAACCUGCGGUUGGAUCACCUCCUUACCUUAAAGAA